UACGGGGGGGGCAAGCGUUGUUCGGAAUUACUGGGCGUAAAGGGCUGGUAGGCGGCCAACUAAGUCGGAUGUGAAAUCCCCAGGCUUAACCUGGGAACUGCAUCCGAUACUGGUCGGCUUGAAUCCGGGAGAGGGAUGCAGAAUUCCUGGUGUAGCGGUGAAAUGCGCAGAUAUCAGGAAGAACACCCGUGGCGAAGGCGGCUCUCUGGGACGGUACUGACGCUGAGACGCGAAAGCGUGGGGAGCGAACAGG
Molecule: ribosomal RNA, 253 nt
Filed under: uncultured bacterium
Lineage: Bacteria
Description: partial 16S ribosomal RNA
Rfam family: Bacterial small subunit ribosomal RNA
Source: RNAcentral